RNAcentral lists this ribosomal RNA (305 nucleotides) under uncultured bacterium. Its description in RNAcentral is "bacterial SSU rRNA". It matches the Rfam family "Bacterial small subunit ribosomal RNA", at positions 333 to 655 of the family's 1533-position model. The record is from RNAcentral.
UAUGGCCUACGGGGGGCAGCAGUGGGGAAUAUUGCACAAUGGGGGAAACCCUGAUGCAGCGACGCCGCGUGAGCGAUGAAGUAUUUCGGUAUGUAAAGCUCUAUCAGCAGGGAAGAAAAUGACGGUACCUGACUAAGAAGCCCCGGCUAACUACGUGCCAGCAGCCGCGGUAAUACGUAGGGGGCAAGCGUUAUCCGGAUUUACUGGGUGUAAAGGGAGCGUAGACGGUCCUGCAAGCCAAAUGUGAAAGCCCGGGGCUCAACGUGGGAACUGCCUUUGAAACUGGCAAACUGGAGUGUGUGAGG